Molecule: ribosomal RNA, 561 nt
Filed under: uncultured Candidatus Poseidoniales archaeon
Lineage: Archaea; Methanobacteriati; Thermoplasmatota; Candidatus Poseidoniia; Candidatus Poseidoniales
Description: bacterial SSU rRNA
Rfam family: Archaeal small subunit ribosomal RNA
Source: RNAcentral
UUCUGGUUGAUCCUGCCGGAGGCUACCGCUAUUGGAGUUCGAUUAAGCCAUGCGAGUCGAGAGUCUUAGGGACUCGGCGUACCGCUCAGUAACACGUGGGUAACCUGCCCUAUGCUGGGGAAUAACCUCGGGAAACUGAGAAUAAUACCUCAUAGUCCACAAUGCCUGGAACGGUUUGUGGAUUAAAGCCCCGGCGGCAUAGGAUGGGCCUGCGGCGUAUCAGGUUGUAGGGGGUGUAACGUACCCUCUAGCCAUCAACGCGUACGGGUGUUGGGAGACAUAGCCCGGAGAUGGAUUCUGAGACACGAAUCCAGACCCUACGGGGUGCAGCAGGCGCGAAAACUUGGCAAUGCGAGAAAUCGUGACCAGGGAACUCCAAGUGGCUGGGGUAAGACCCAGUCUUUUCUUGACUCUUCAAAGGUCUUGGGAUAAGAGGUGGGUAAGGACGGUGCCAGCCGCCGCGGUAAUACCGGCGCCUCAAGUGGUAGUCGAUUUUAUUGGGCCUAAAACGUCCGUAGCCUGUUUGGUACAUUCGUGGGUAAAUCAACCAGCUUAACUGGU